This is a long non-coding RNA of Lingula anatina, 773 nucleotides long. RefSeq lists it as uncharacterized. The record is from RefSeq and is a predicted model, not a curated record. Lineage: Eukaryota; Metazoa; Brachiopoda; Lingulata; Lingulida; Lingulidae.
UCAUAGCUCCAGUAAAUAGUUAUCUAAAGAAGCUUGUCUUAAACGUUUGACACCAGACGUUGUUUUCGAGAACAAGACGCUGCAAGUACUAGACAUUGUUAACAAAGGGAAGCCGAGGAUCUAGCCACUGCUUUAAGAAAGAGACUUGAGCUAACCAUGUAUGUGUUCAAUCUAUUAACUGGCACUGUUUUACUCACCGCUUUUAAUGGAUACAGUUUCGGACGGGAUGUUGUUGAGAUUCCUCAAGACGAGCAAAUAUCUGAUCUUUGGAUUCAGAAAUUCACGUUGUGGUUCAGAAUUAUAGACAUCAACAAUGACGGUUUCGUCUACAAAGAGGAAUACGUGGACGAAGUGACAAAACGAGCUCAACAGGUUCUCUCCCCAUGGAGGGCCAAUGCUGUGUUCGGACUAAUGGCAAAAGAUUGGCAGUUUUCGUUGCACGGCAAAACGUCCAACACAAAACAAGCAAUCAACCUCGAUAGGUUUCUUAAGUUGUAUGAAUUGAACCUCCUAACCGCAUCAGUGAAUGAGCUUCAGAUAUAUUGGUGUUCGGAUUUGUUCCAUAUUUUAGAUGUAGACUGCGAUGAAAAAAUGUCUCUUGACGAGUAUUCCAAGCUUUUACAUAUAACACGCAAUAUAUUGCCUCCUGAAGAACUGUUCAAUUACAUUGACCGCAACCAAAAUCACAUCAUAAGUUUGGAAGAGUUCUUAUUUGGCUGUAACGAUUUUUAUUUCGAAAUGAAAGACAACACGACAGUCCUGUUUUAUGGCUU